AUAGAUGAAUAAAUUCUUAUGAAUUUUGAAUGGCAUGAAGGUGACGGUGACAUUAUUUUUUUUUUGUGAACUAUCCCCUGUAGACCAUCAGGGAUAAUAAAUCAAUUAUAUAACAGGUUAGAAGGUUUUAGGUUGUUCAGAAGUAUUUGUAAUAGACUUUAUCUGAGUGGGCAACUGGAUCAAAAGAUUUGGACCUGGAACACGGCUGAUUGUAACUGGAAAUACUGAGUCGCCAAAAGUGUCUGGAUACCUACCGUCAAAGAAAUCCAGUGACAAAGAUGACAUUCACACAAUGUUAUGCCACGCAAGAGACAUGAUUCCUGACUUGGUGAAAUUCACAUGGCAAAAAAAGAGCGGAACAAAAGAUUGGGAGGAUGUGAAUGAAAAUGUUGUUGAACAGAGUUACAAAGUUAAAGUAAAUAAUAAAGAUCAAGUUAAAGCAGUGUCAAGUAUGAUGAUUAUAGAUAAAAACACGGCCGAAAACAACGACUACCAAUGCAUUGUUACCCAUGAGGGAGUCAAUGAGAAACCCCAAACUCUUUUAAUGAAGAAAGAUGAAAUUAAGCCGCCAAUGGUUCCUACGAAGAAAAAUUGUCCAGCCACUGAUGAGACCAUAAAAAAUCAAAUAUCAGGAGAUUCGGAGCAAAUACGCAGUCUGUACGUGUUUGUCUAUGCAUAUGGUGUCAUGAUCAUGAAGAACGUACUGUAUUUUUUUGUUGUGACUAUCUUUCUAUUAAAGAGAAAAGCUGCAAGAAAGAAAGAUGAAACCUCUUAGAGAUUUAAUGCUAAUAUAAGAUAAAUAUCAAUUAAGCAAAGGUUAUUAGCAAGUUUCGCUGACUAAAGAAUAGAUACAUAUCUGCAGCUAUAUUAUCUCUGCUUAACUGUAUUGCUUUUACAUUUGUAGUAGGUUUUCUUUGCAUAGUUUAGUUUUGCAUAUUUGAAAUGUAUCAUUUAGAUUAUUAAAAAUGUGUAAUGUACCCAAAUUUUUAAAAUGUGUUUUGCAUUCCCUUUGUUUUUUUUGUUUGUUUUUUGUUUGUUUUUUUUGCAUUCUCAGAAUAAAAUCUGCUCCUAAAAUAAAUUAAAUGUUAUUCUUAGAUGUGUAGUAAAAGGAAUUCU
This 1116-nucleotide long non-coding RNA is filed under the name Carassius auratus (goldfish). RNAcentral describes it as "lncRNA (ENSCARG00000027383.1)". The record is from RNAcentral. Lineage: Eukaryota; Metazoa; Chordata; Actinopteri; Cypriniformes; Cyprinidae.